Molecule: ribosomal RNA, 494 nt
Filed under: uncultured bacterium
Lineage: Bacteria
Description: partial 16S ribosomal RNA
Rfam family: Bacterial small subunit ribosomal RNA
Source: RNAcentral
GACGAACGCUGGCGGCGUGCCUAAUACAUGCAAGUAGAACGCUGAAGGAGGAUCUUGCUUCUCUGGAUGAGUUGCGAACGGGUGAGUAACGCGUAGGUAACCUGCCUGGUAGCGGGGGAUAACUAUUGGAAACGAUAGCUAAUACCGCAUAAGAGUAGAUGUUGCAUGACAUUUACUUAAAAGGUGCAAUUGCAUCACUACCAGAUGGACCUGCGUUGUAUUAGCUAGUUGGUGAGGUAACGGCUCACCAAGGCAACGAUACAUAGCCGACCUGAGAGGGUGAUCGGCCACACUGGGACUGAGACACGGCCCAGACUCCUACGGGAGGCAGCAGUAGGGAAUCUUCGGCAAUGGACGGAAGUCUGACCGAGCAACGCCGCGUGAGUGAAGAAGGUGUUCGGAUCGUAAAGCUCUGUUGUAAGAGAAGAACGAGUGUGAGAGUGGAAAGUUCACACUGUGACGGUAUCGUACCAGAAAGGGACGGCUAACUACGU